RNAcentral lists this long non-coding RNA (543 nucleotides) under Populus tremula. RNAcentral describes it as "long non-coding RNA (PTRE_LNC000127)". The record is from RNAcentral. Lineage: Eukaryota; Viridiplantae; Streptophyta; Magnoliopsida; Malpighiales; Salicaceae.
GGGCAUGAAAUGGCUUUGGACCUUGACCGUGCUUUUCUUGCUUAAGAAGAUCUUGCAGGGACCUCUUUAGGUAAAGUUUAAGUGUUCAUAUCCUUACAACGUGGCAAGAACACCCUCACUAGAGUGAGAGAAACCCCCAUCAGCUACCCUCGAGGCCUCAAAUCAAGCUUGUUUCAUCAGCGACAGUCAGCAGAGCAUAACACAAAUUUUAAUUUGAUGUCUUUUAAGCUUAAAAACACAGGUAAACAUGAACAAAAGUUGAUUAGCUGAUUGACGAAGCCUUUUCUUGAAUGAUUUCACUUCCCUUUCUCGGACUACUUGAAGCGCACUUCCAACUCUCAGCUUUCCUUUGAUCCCUUCCCUCACGAAUCUUACAAGCUCGGAUCUCGGUUUUCCUUUCUCUCGAGCUGCUUCUCCGAUCCCUUAUCCCUUAUUCAUGGCCUUGUUAUCUCCAAAAGUCGAUAGGCAUCAACCUAAAGAAGGAAGAGAAGAGGAUGAAGAACAAGCAAAUUGAAAGUUUAUUGUGUAGGGUUAGCAGAGAGA